RNAcentral lists this ribosomal RNA (382 nucleotides) under Hemiplasta falcata. Its description in RNAcentral is "partial large subunit ribosomal RNA". The record is from RNAcentral. Lineage: Eukaryota; Metazoa; Arthropoda; Insecta; Phasmatodea; Lonchodidae.
GGGAGAAUCCUGAAAUCGAAAGGGAUUGGAUUCAAGUCUACCGUGUGCUUUAGGAGUCGCCCACGCACAGAUGGCGCCGGUCGGCCGCGGCGAACUCGUUCGUCCAGCGGUGUCAGUACCUGGCGAUCACUCGGCGAGGUGCGGGUUUCCGGCACUCCUGGGGGAGUGCAAUUCCUCCCUUAGUAAAUGCGUCGCGACCCGUUGGGUGCCGGUCUCAAGGCCCGGGAUGGCAAACCGACUCGUCCUGUAGGUGGGUUUUUCCACAGGCGUGCGGACUCCCGGUGUACCCGGCCGGUCGCCCACGGUAANAGCAAAGGAAUCNAUCCGCUUGCAACCGGUGCGUGACACUGGGGAGAUGUGUUGCGUCCGGCCUGUCNAUGUC